Molecule: non-coding RNA, 94 nt
Organism: Cubamyces lactineus
Lineage: Eukaryota; Fungi; Basidiomycota; Agaricomycetes; Polyporales; Polyporaceae
Source: the annotation of a GenBank genome assembly
GCCGGGAUAGCUCAGCUGGGAGAGCAACAGACUGAAGAGCUUCCUAGGAAGCUGUGAGUUCUGGAGGUCGCGUGUUCAAUCCACGCUCCUGGCA